Molecule: RNA transcript, 2527 nt
Organism: Xiphophorus couchianus (Monterrey platyfish)
Lineage: Eukaryota; Metazoa; Chordata; Actinopteri; Cyprinodontiformes; Poeciliidae
Exons: 8
Source: RefSeq, a predicted model, not a curated record
CACACAGCGGCUCUGUCAGAGUUGAAAGUGAAAGUAGCUGCUGUUGCUGCAUUGAAGCUGCAUAGUUUCCUGUAAGUCACGUGGUCAGGGCUGGGUGGAGCUUCAUAUAAAUACUGAAGUCAGCAGGAAGGGAACGGCACAACUCCAGACCAGUUUAAGUGCGAGACUGUAAGGUACCUUCACCUCUAUUGAAGCCGAUGAGCAGGAACUAUGUCAGCACCUAAGAAAGCACAAUCCAACCAGGGUCUGGAGAGAUCAGUGACUUGUCCAAAUUGUAGACAGAUGUUUUUGACUUUUGUCAACUUUGAACUGAAGGAUGGCAGGUUAGAUUUCCAAAUGGAAGUAUUUGAAGUUAACGAUGUGGAAUCAGCCCUUGUCAGUCAGAGCUUUACCUAUAAACAACAGGACGAUGUGAAACAAAAGAGCACAGUGGAGUGUCCAUAUUGUCCAAAGACGUUUGAGCUGAUCAUUCACCUUACUAAGACUAUUAAAGAGAGCCAAUUAAAUCUUGAACUGUCCAUCACAACUUGUGCGGUCUGUGUGCCGGGUGAAAAAAAGGAAAAGGAAGAAACACCAAGAGGACAAAAAGGCCCAUCAGAAAAAACAGGUACCGGUACAUGCCUUAAAACAGAACUGACCAGUGGACAGUUAUAUCCCUGGUUAUAUCACACUGAGGUCACACAUAGUUUUGGAAUUUAUUUGAGUCCUGAUCUAAUAGACAAAUAAUAAAAGGCGUCUUCAUUAGAGCCUGUAUGUGAGGAUUUAAACCCACCAUCAUUUUUGUCAGAAGCCAUUCUAAUUAAAGGUCUAUUUAAAGUCACAAAGGUAUAUUACAAAUGUUCUGUAGAAGCAAACAAAUAUUUGCCUCUAACAAAUAAAUAUUUGGUAGAAAAUGUGGAACAUUACAAAUUACAUUUAUCAAGUUAAUAUAAUGGAGUCAUUUUUUUUAAAUUGACAUAUUUCUGAUUUUAUUUUACUCAAUCUGUCAUGGGACAUUUUUUUCCACAAAAGUUUGCAGUGCCUUCCACACCUAAUAUUACAGCUGGUAAACAUCUCUAAAAAUACCAAUGAAUAUUUUUUUAUUUUUUUGCACACAACUGGUUUUCUUAGAUCCAUCUUCAGAUUUGACAAUAAUUCUUAAAAAUCAUGGAGAAUAAGAUAUAAUUCUUUAGUGCUUCUAGAAAAACCUGAUUCAUGCCUAGACCCAGAUCACUAGAUAACUUCAAGAUCACUAUUUUGCCGAAAGAGUCUUUAAAUAUGGUGCGGGAACUUCAACCUUUUGACUGUCAAACAACAACUGGUAUAACUGGUGACUACUUGUUUUUUCAGGCUUAGGCUCACCUGUACUACACAGAGUGAAGGUUUUCUAUAUGUGCUCUGGUGAGACAUUUCGUGGUGAUGAUCAAGUGAAGGAACAAUUGAUGAUGGACAAACGGCGGACACUUCAUGUCCAGGAGACAAACCUGAAAGAUUCUGACAUUGUCAUUGUCUUCUGUCCAAUCACAUCCCGCGUUGGAUCAGACGUGGAGUCAUCCAUGAGAGAUAAAACAGCGUCAUCAUUGAAGAAACCAAUCAUCUUGGUUCUGAUGCAUCACACCAGAGACUUUGAGUAUUCAACUGCAGGAACAACCUGGUCUGACGUUUAUCCAAAUGUUGUCCUUGAUGUUCAUGUUCUGUUCCAUGAGACUAAACCAGGACUAUUGAAAUGUAGACAAAAUGAGGAGGCUUUCGAGAUGAUUAAAAAAGAGCUAAAUAAACAUUCAAAACCAGUCUUUGGAAUGUUAGCACACCAUCAGACUCGUUGAGAAUGUUACGAAACAUUAAAUAUCCAGUGAGCAGCAGUUAUCUGGGAAGAAAUACUGAAUAAAUGUCAGAAGGAGAAUGAAUAGACUGGUUCAAAAUUAUAGAAAUUAAGCAGUAGCUUAAAACCCACUUAUUAAAACCCAAAUAUGUCUAACAUACCGUUUCUGAACACACAAUAUGUUUAAUCAUAAAGCAAAUGGACUAUAUUGACAGAAGAGAAAACUCCUACCAGCCCAGAACAGGAAGCAUCAACAGAGCAUCGUUUAAACACCACAGCCUAACUAAGUAUGAUUCCUGACCAUGUCCAUCCCUUUAUGAUCACAGUUUACCCAUACUCUGAACGCUACUUCCAAAAGUGUAACGACAUUACGUUACAAAUUUAAAAUAAUUGUAAUCUGACAACUGACACUUCAACAUGACAAGUUCACUCAGCUCCAAAGAUCUCAGUCCAGGUGCUUUGGGAUGUAGUGAAAUGAAAGACUCAUGUCAUUGUCAUUGUAAGGCUGAAAUGAUUAAUCAGAUUAAUCAUAAUGGAUUGAUAAUUGUUCAUAACGCUUAAUGAAUUAAUUUAAUAAUUGAUUAACUGGAUUAUAGAGGAUAGAGACUCUGAAAAAGAAGGUCAUUUGCAGCGGUACGAGAGCGCCCCCACUGGCAAGAGGAUACAUGCACACAACAAACACGUCUAUAUACAUAAGAAAAAAAAGAAGAAAAAAGACAAGACCAA